CAUGUCGAGAAAUUUCNAGAGAUGGAUUGGNUGCCUUCGGGAACACGAACACAGGUGCUGNAUGGNUGAUCGAUCAGCUCGUGUCGUGAGAUGUUGGGUNAAGUCCCGCAACGAGNGCAACCCUUGUCCUUAGUUGCCAGCACGNAAUGGUGGGAACUCUAAGGANACCGCCGGUGACAAACCGGAGGAAGGNGGGGAUGACGUCAAGUCAUCAUGGCCCUUACGGCCAGGGCUACNCACGUACUACAAUGGUAGGGACAGAGGGCUGCAAGCCGGCGACGGUAAGCCAAUCCCAGAAANCCUAUCUCAGUCCGGAUUGGAGUCUGCAACUCGACUCCAUGAAGUCNGAAUCGNUAGUAAUCGCNGAUCANNAUUGCUGCGGNGAAUACGUUCCCGGGCCUUGUACACACCGCCCGUCACANCAUGGGAGUUUGUUGCACCANAAGCAGGUAUCUUAACCUUCGGGAGGGCGCUUGCCACGGUGUGGCCGAUGACUGGNGUGAAGUCGUAACAAGGUAACCA
Molecule: ribosomal RNA, 522 nt
Filed under: Stenotrophomonas maltophilia
Lineage: Bacteria; Pseudomonadati; Pseudomonadota; Gammaproteobacteria; Lysobacterales; Lysobacteraceae
Description: partial 16S ribosomal RNA
Rfam family: Bacterial small subunit ribosomal RNA
Source: RNAcentral